Molecule: ribosomal RNA, 347 nt
Filed under: uncultured soil bacterium
Lineage: Bacteria
Description: bacterial SSU rRNA
Rfam family: Bacterial small subunit ribosomal RNA
Source: RNAcentral
AGAUUGAACGCUGGCGGCAGGCCUAACACAUGCAAGUCGAGCGGUAGAGAGGUGCUUGCACCUCUUGAGAGCGGCGGACGGGUGAGUAAUGCCUAGGAAUCUGCCUAGUGGUGGGGGAUAACGUUCGGAAACGGACGCUAAUACCGCAUACGUCCUACGGGAGAAAGCGGGGGACCUUCGGGCCUCGCGCCAUUAGAUGAGCCUAGGUCGGAUUAGCUAGUUGGUGAGGUAAUGGCUCACCAAGGCGACGAUCCGUAACUGGUCUGAGAGGAUGAUCAGUCACACUGGAACUGAGACACGGUCCAGACCUCCUACGGGAGCAGCAGUGGGGAAUAGUUGACAAUGGG